This 229-nucleotide ribosomal RNA is filed under the name uncultured bacterium. RNAcentral describes it as "partial 16S ribosomal RNA". It matches the Rfam family "Bacterial small subunit ribosomal RNA", at positions 28 to 258 of the family's 1533-position model. The record is from RNAcentral.
GACGAACGCUGGCGGCGUGCUUAACACAUGCAAGUCGAGCGGUAAGGCCCUUUCGGGGGUACACGAGCGGCGAACGGGUGAGUAACACGUGGGUGACCUGCCCUCAGCUCUGGGAUAAGCCUGGGAAACUGGGUCUAAUACUGGAUAUGACUCCACGGUGCAUGUCGUGGGGUGGAAAGCCUUGUGCGGCUGAGGAUGGGCCCGCGGCCUAUCAGCUUGUUGGGGGGUG